This 763-nucleotide ribosomal RNA is filed under the name Lactococcus lactis. Its description in RNAcentral is "bacterial SSU rRNA". It matches the Rfam family "Bacterial small subunit ribosomal RNA", at positions 8 to 754 of the family's 1533-position model. The record is from RNAcentral. Lineage: Bacteria; Bacillati; Bacillota; Bacilli; Lactobacillales; Streptococcaceae.
AGAGUUUGAUCAUGGCUCAGGACGAACGCUGGCGGCGUGCCUAAUACAUGCAAGUUGAGCGAUGAAGAUUGGUGCUUGCACCAAUUUGAAGAGCAGCGAACGGGUGAGUAACGCGUGGGGAAUCUGCCUUUGAGCGGGGGACAACAUUUGGAAACGAAUGCUAAUACCGCAUAACAACUUUAAACAUAAGUUUUAAGUUUGAAAGAUGCAAUUGCAUCACUCAAAGAUGAUCCCGCGUUGUAUUAGCUAGUUGGUGAGGUAAAGGCUCACCAAGGCGAUGAUACAUAGCCGACCUGAGAGGGUGAUCGGCCACAUUGGGACUGAGACACGGCCCAAACUCCUACGGGAGGCAGCAGUAGGGAAUCUUCGGCAAUGGACGAAAGUCUGACCGAGCAACGCCGCGUGAGUGAAGAAGGUUUUCGGAUCGUAAAACUCUGUUGGUAGAGAAGAACGUUGGUGAGAGUGGAAAGCUCAUCAAGUGACGGUAACUACCCAGAAAGGGACGGCUAACUACGUGCCAGCAGCCGCGGUAAUACGUAGGUCCCGAGCGUUGUCCGGAUUUAUUGGGCGUAAAGCGAGCGCAGGUGGUUUAUUAAGUCUGGUGUAAAAGGCAGUGGCUCAACCAUUGUAUGCAUUGGAAACUGGUAGACUUGAGUGCAGGAGAGGAGAGUGGAAUUCCAUGUGUAGCGGUGAAAUGCGUAGAUAUAUGGAGGAACACCGGUGGCGAAAGCGGCUCUCUGGCCUGUAACUGACACUGAGGCUC